This 368-nucleotide ribosomal RNA is filed under the name Serratia sp. 1AR14. RNAcentral describes it as "partial 16S ribosomal RNA". It matches the Rfam family "Bacterial small subunit ribosomal RNA", at positions 37 to 404 of the family's 1533-position model. The record is from RNAcentral. Lineage: Bacteria; Pseudomonadati; Pseudomonadota; Gammaproteobacteria; Enterobacterales; Yersiniaceae.
UUGCGGCAGCNNACNAUNGCAAGUCGAGCGGUAGCACAGGAGAGCUUGCUCUCUGGGUGACGAGGGAAGAAGGGUGAGUAAUGUCUGGGAAACUGCCUGAUGGAGGGGNAUAACUACUGGAAACGGUAGCUAAUACCGCAUAACGUCUACGGACCAAAGUGGGGGACCUUCGGNUUUCCAAAACAUCAGAUGUGCCCAGAUGGGAUUAGCUAGUAGGUGGGGUAAUGGCUCACAUAGGCGACNAUCCCUAGCUGGUCUGAGAGGAUGACCAGCCACACUGGAACUGANACACGGUCCACACUCCUCCGGGAGGCANCANUGGGGAAUAUUGUCAAUGGGCGCAAACCUGAUCCCCCCAUGCCGCGUGU